RNAcentral lists this ribosomal RNA (253 nucleotides) under uncultured bacterium. Its description in RNAcentral is "partial 16S ribosomal RNA". It matches the Rfam family "Bacterial small subunit ribosomal RNA", at positions 524 to 776 of the family's 1533-position model. The record is from RNAcentral.
UACGUAGGGUGCAAGCGUUUGUCCGGAAUUAUUGGGCGUAAAGAGCUCGUAGGCGGUUUGUUGCGUCGGCUGUGAAAUCCCGAGCUCAACCUCGGGUCUGCAGUCGAUACGAGCAAACUAGAGUGUUGCAGGGGAGACUGGAAUUCCUGGUGUAGCGGUGAAAUGCGCAGAUAUCAGGAGGAACACCGGUGGCGAAGGCGGGUCUCUGGGCAACAACUGACGCUGGAGGAGCGAAAGCGUGGGAGCGAACAGG